RNAcentral lists this ribosomal RNA (253 nucleotides) under uncultured bacterium. RNAcentral describes it as "partial 16S ribosomal RNA". It matches the Rfam family "Bacterial small subunit ribosomal RNA", at positions 524 to 776 of the family's 1533-position model. The record is from RNAcentral.
UACGGAGGGUGCAAGCGUUAUUCGGAUUUACUGGGCGUAAAGCGCACGUAGGCGGUUUGAUAAGUCGGAUGUGAAAGCCCCGGGCUCAACCCGGGAAGUGCAUUGGAUACUGGCAGACUAGAGUCUAGUAGAGGGCGGCGGAAUUCCAGGUGUAGAGGUGAAAUGCGUAGAGAUCAGAAGGAAUAACAGAGGCGAAGGCGGCUGCCUGGACUAUAACUGACGCUCAGGUGCGAAAGCGUGGGGAGCAAACAGG